UACGUAGGGGGCAAGCGUUGUCCGGAAUCAUUGGGCGUAAAGCGCGUGUAGGCGGCUCGGUAAGUCUGCUGUGAAAGUCCAGGGCUCAACCCUGGGAUGCCGGUGGAUACUGUCGAGCUCGAGUCCGGAAGAGGCGAGUGGAAUUCCCGGUGUAGCGGUGAAAUGCGCAGAUAUCGGGAGGAACACCAAUGGCGAAGGCAGCUCGCUGGGACGGUACUGACGCUGAGACGCGAAAGCGUGGGGAGCAAACAGG
Molecule: ribosomal RNA, 253 nt
Filed under: uncultured bacterium
Lineage: Bacteria
Description: partial 16S ribosomal RNA
Rfam family: Bacterial small subunit ribosomal RNA
Source: RNAcentral